UGUGUACAGCCUGAUAAUGUAAUACCAAAAUUUUAACAUUAAUAUUAUCAUUCUAGAACACCCAAAUUCCACCAAAGAAAACAUUCGCCUCAAUUCUACAAGAGUUCGAUACAAGAGUUCGAAUACCCCAAUUUGUUAAUAACUCCAUCAUCACGAAAGCCACUUAUCCAGGUCUCAAAUAAAAAAAAUGUCAGGACUAAACUCAUGUCUAUAUUCAGAUAUAAACUUGUGUAAAUGGGGAUGUCUCGCUCCCUGAGAAUUCCAAAAAAUUAAAUUUAAAUCCAUAAAUAUUAAAAAGAUGAAUUCAAGCAUCAAUCACAAAAUACGAGCACAAGCAGCUUACCCCAAUAUCACGAUCAGAAACCGUUGCUCUUCCAAUAGAUUUAAGCCUAAAAUUUUC
This 400-nucleotide long non-coding RNA is filed under the name Gossypium barbadense (sea-island cotton). Its description in RNAcentral is "long non-coding RNA (GBAR_LNC004750)". Lineage: Eukaryota; Viridiplantae; Streptophyta; Magnoliopsida; Malvales; Malvaceae. The record is from RNAcentral.